RNAcentral lists this ribosomal RNA (468 nucleotides) under uncultured bacterium. RNAcentral's name for it is "partial 16S ribosomal RNA". It matches the Rfam family "Bacterial small subunit ribosomal RNA", at positions 28 to 507 of the family's 1533-position model. The record is from RNAcentral.
GACGAACGCUGGCGGCGUGCUUAACACAUGCAAGUCGAACGGAAAGGCCCUGCUUUUGUGGGGUGCUCGAGUGGCGAACGGGUGAGUAACACGUGAGUAACCUGCCCUUGACUUUGGGAUAACUUCAGGAAACUGGGGCUAAUACCGGAUAGGAGCUCCUGCUGCAUGGUGGGGGUUGGAAAGUUUCGGCGGUUGGGGAUGUACUCGCGGCUUAUUAGCUUGUUGGUGGGGUAGUGGCCUACCAAGGCUUCGACGGGUAGCCGGCCUGAGUGGGUGACCGGCCACAUUGGGACUGCGAUACGGCCCAGACUCCAACAGGAGGCAGCAGUGGGAAAUAUUGCACAAUGGGCGGAAGCCUGAUGCAGCAACGCCGCGUGCGGGAUGACGGCCUUCGGGUUGUAAACCGCUUUCGCCUGUGACGAAGCGUGAGUGACGGUAAUGGGUAAAGAAGCACCGGCUAACUACGUG